UGCGUAGGCAGCAAGCGUUGUUCGGAAUUACUGGGCGUAAAGAGUGUGUAGGUGGUGUCGUAAGUUUGGUGUGAAAUCUCCCGGCUUAACUGGGAGGGUGCGCCGAAGACUGCGAUGCUGGAGUAUGGGAGAGGAAAGCGGAAUUCCUGGUGUAGCGGUGAAAUGCGUAGAUAUCAGGAGGAACACCGGUGGCGAAGGCGGCUUCCUGGACCGACACUGACGCUGAGGCGCGAAAGCCAGGGGAGCAAACGGG
RNAcentral lists this ribosomal RNA (253 nucleotides) under uncultured bacterium. Its description in RNAcentral is "partial 16S ribosomal RNA". It matches the Rfam family "Bacterial small subunit ribosomal RNA", at positions 524 to 776 of the family's 1533-position model. The record is from RNAcentral.